This 73-nucleotide transfer RNA is filed under the name Callorhinchus milii (elephant shark). RNAcentral's name for it is "tRNA-Arg (CCG) (tRNA-Arg-CCG-1-1)". It matches the Rfam family "tRNA". Rfam says of the family: Transfer RNA (tRNA) molecules are approximately 80 nucleotides in length. Their secondary structure includes four short double-helical elements and three loops (D, anti-codon, and T loops). The record is from Rfam by way of RNAcentral. Lineage: Eukaryota; Metazoa; Chordata; Chondrichthyes; Chimaeriformes; Callorhinchidae.
GCCCCAGUGGCCUAAUGGAUAAGGCACUGGUUUCCGGAGCCAGGGAUUGUGGGUUCGAGUCCCAUCUGGGGUG